UCCCUGGUGGCUCAGAGGUGAAGCGUCUGCCUGCAAUGCGGGAGACCCAGGUUCGAUCCCUGGGUUGGGAA
This 71-nucleotide transfer RNA is filed under the name Ovis aries (sheep). It matches the Rfam family "tRNA". Rfam says of the family: Transfer RNA (tRNA) molecules are approximately 80 nucleotides in length. Lineage: Eukaryota; Metazoa; Chordata; Mammalia; Artiodactyla; Bovidae. The record is from Rfam by way of RNAcentral.